RNAcentral lists this transfer RNA (72 nucleotides) under Nanobdellota archaeon. Its description in RNAcentral is "tRNA-Asn". It matches the Rfam family "tRNA". Rfam says of the family: Transfer RNA (tRNA) molecules are approximately 80 nucleotides in length. Their secondary structure includes four short double-helical elements and three loops (D, anti-codon, and T loops). Further hydrogen bonds mediate the characteristic L-shaped molecular structure. tRNAs have two regions of fundamental functional importance: the anti-codon, which is responsible for specific mRNA codon recognition, and the 3' end, to which the tRNAs corresponding amino acid is attached (by aminoacyl-tRNA synthetases). tRNAs cope with the degeneracy of the genetic code in two manners: having more than one tRNA (with a specific anti-codon) for a particular amino acid; and 'wobble' base-pairing, i.e. permitting non-standard base-pairing at the 3rd anti-codon position. The record is from RNAcentral. Lineage: Archaea; Nanobdellati; Nanobdellota.
GCCUCCAUAGCUUAGCGGUAGAGUGAUCGGCUGUUAACCGAUUGGUCCCCGGUUCGAUCCCGGGUGGAGGCG